UACGAAGGGGGCUAGCGUUGUUCGGAAUCACUGGGCGUAAAGGGCGCGUAGGCGGCUUUGUAAGUCGGGGGUGAAAGCCUGUGGCUCAACCACAGAAUUGCCUUCGAUACUGCAUGGCUUGAGACCGGAAGAGGUAAGUGGAACUGCGAGUGUAGAGGUGAAAUUCAUAGAUAUUCGCAAGAACACCAGUGGCGAAGGCGGCUUACUGGUCCGGUUCUGACGCUGAGGCGCGAAAGCGUGGGGAGCAAACAGG
RNAcentral lists this ribosomal RNA (253 nucleotides) under uncultured bacterium. RNAcentral's name for it is "partial 16S ribosomal RNA". It matches the Rfam family "Bacterial small subunit ribosomal RNA", at positions 524 to 776 of the family's 1533-position model. The record is from RNAcentral.